This 433-nucleotide ribosomal RNA is filed under the name uncultured bacterium. RNAcentral describes it as "partial 16S ribosomal RNA". It matches the Rfam family "Bacterial small subunit ribosomal RNA", at positions 29 to 507 of the family's 1533-position model. The record is from RNAcentral.
AACGAACGCUGGCGGCAUGCCUAACAUAUGCAAGUCGAACGAGACCUUCGGGUCUAGUGGCGCACGGGUGCGUAACGCGUGGGAACCUGCCCUUAGGUUCGGAAUAACUCCCCGAAAGGGGUGCUAAUACCGGAUAAUGUCUUCGGACCAAAGAUUUAUCGCCUUUGGAUGGGCCCGCGUUGGAUUAGCUAGUUGGUAGGGUAAAAGCCUACCAAGGCGACGAUCCAUAGCUGGUCUGAGAGGAUGAUCAGCCACACUGGGACUGAGACACGGCCCAGACUCCUACGGGAGGCAGCAGUGGGGAAUAUUGGACAAUGGGCGAAAGCCUGAUCCAGCAAUGCCGCGUGAGUGAUGAAGGCCUUAGGGUUGUAAAGCUCUUUUACCCGGGAUGAUAAUGACAGUACCGGGAGAAUAAGCGCCGGCUAACUCCGUG